Molecule: non-coding RNA, 308 nt
Filed under: Citrobacter rodentium ICC168
Lineage: Bacteria; Pseudomonadati; Pseudomonadota; Gammaproteobacteria; Enterobacterales; Enterobacteriaceae
Description: MicL sRNA
Rfam family: MicL sRNA
About the family: mRNA-interfering complementary RNA regulator of Lpp.
Source: Rfam by way of RNAcentral
UAUGGCCGGAGCAGGGGUUCGUGCAGAAAAUUUGCAGCGUUUCCUCGAUGCCGGGGUACGGGAAGUACACAGCUCAGCCGGAACUCUGAUGCCCUCACCGAUGCGCUAUCGCAAUCCAGGGUUGUCAAUGUCAGCCGAUAAACAGGCGGAUGAAUAUUCCCGCUAUGCGGUAGACGGUGCGGCAGUCGCUGAAAUGAAAGGAAUCAUUGUUCGCCAUCAGGCCAAAUGAUUUUUACCGUUGCAUCAUGUCGCCCAAUAUGAUGCUUGCUCGUACCAGGCCCCUGCCAAUUCAACAGGGGCCUUUUUUU